RNAcentral lists this ribosomal RNA (894 nucleotides) under Salmonella enterica subsp. enterica. RNAcentral describes it as "bacterial SSU rRNA". It matches the Rfam family "Bacterial small subunit ribosomal RNA", at positions 269 to 1156 of the family's 1533-position model. The record is from RNAcentral. RNAcentral also lists the same sequence under 1 other name. Lineage: Bacteria; Pseudomonadati; Pseudomonadota; Gammaproteobacteria; Enterobacterales; Enterobacteriaceae.
CAAGGCGACGAUCCCUAGCUGGUCUGAGAGGAUGACCAGCCACACUGGAACUGAGACACGGUCCAGACUCCUACGGGAGGCAGCAGUGGGGAAUAUUGCACAAUGGGCGCAAGCCUGAUGCAGCCAUGCCGCGUGUAUGAAGAAGGCCUUCGGGUUGUAAAGUACUUUCAGCGGGGAGGAAGGUGUUGUGGUUAAUAACCGCAGCAAUUGACGUUACCCGCAGAAGAAGCACCGGCUAACUCCGUGCCAGCAGCCGCGGUAAUACGGAGGGUGCAAGCGUUAAUCGGAAUUACUGGGCGUAAAGCGCACGCAGGCGGUCUGUCAAGUCGGAUGUGAAAUCCCCGGGCUCAACCUGGGAACUGCAUUCGAAACUGGCAGGCUUGAGUCUUGUAGAGGGGGGUAGAAUUCCAGGUGUAGCGGUGAAAUGCGUAGAGAUCUGGAGGAAUACCGGUGGCGAAGGCGGCCCCCUGGACAAAGACUGACGCUCAGGUGCGAAAGCGUGGGGAGCAAACAGGAUUAGAUACCCUGGUAGUCCACGCCGUAAACGAUGUCUACUUGGAGGUUGUGCCCUUGAGGCGUGGCUUCCGGAGCUAACGCGUUAAGUAGACCGCCUGGGGAGUACGGCCGCAAGGUUAAAACUCAAAUGAAUUGACGGGGGCCCGCACAAGCGGUGGAGCAUGUGGUUUAAUUCGAUGCAACGCGAAGAACCUUACCUGGUCUUGACAUCCACGGAAGUUUUCAGAGAUGAGAAUGUGCCUUCGGGAACCGUGAGACAGGUGCUGCAUGGCUGUCGUCAGCUCGUGUUGUGAAAUGUUGGGUUAAGUCCCGCAACGAGCGCAACCCUUAUCCUUUGUUGCCAGCGGUCCGGCCGGGAACUCAAAGGAGACUGCCAGU